RNAcentral lists this ribosomal RNA (497 nucleotides) under uncultured bacterium. RNAcentral describes it as "partial 16S ribosomal RNA". It matches the Rfam family "Bacterial small subunit ribosomal RNA", at positions 28 to 507 of the family's 1533-position model. The record is from RNAcentral.
GAUGAACGCUGGCGGCGUGCCUAAUACAUGCAAGUCGAGCGAACAGACGAGGAGCUUGCUCCUCUGACGUUAGCGGCGGACGGGUGAGUAACACGUGGAUAACCUACCUAUAAGACUGGGAUAACUUCGGGAAACCGGAGCUAAUACCGGAUAAUAUAUUGAACCGCAUGGUUCAAUAGUGAAAGACGGUUUUGCUGUCCCUUAUAGAUGGAUCCGCGCCGCAUUAGCAAGUUGGUAAGGUAACGGCUUACCAAGGCAACGAUGCGUAGCCGACCUGAGAGGGGGUUCGGCCACCCUGGAACUGAGACACGGUCCAGACUCCUACGGGAGGCAGCAGUAGGGAAUCUUCCGCAAUGGGCGAAAGCCUGACGGAGCAACGCCGCGUGAGUGAUGAAGGUCUUCGGAUCGUAAAACUCUGUUAUUAGGGAAGAACAAAUGUGUAAGUAACUAUGCACGUCUUGACGGUACCUAAUCAGAAAGCCACGGCUAACUACGUG